This 620-nucleotide ribosomal RNA is filed under the name uncultured bacterium. Its description in RNAcentral is "bacterial SSU rRNA". The stretch from base 1 to 520 matches the Rfam family "Bacterial small subunit ribosomal RNA", at positions 338 to 873 of the family's 1533-position model. The record is from RNAcentral.
CCUACGGGAGGCAGCAGUGGGGAAUAUUGGGCAAUGGAGGAAACUCUGACCCAGCGACGCCGCGUGCGGGAUGAAGGCCUUCGGGUUGUAAACCGCUUUCAGUAGGGAAGAAGCGAAAGUGACGGUACCUACAGAAGAAGCACCGGCUAACUAUGUGCCAGCAGCCGCGGUAAUACAUAGGGUGCAAGCGUUGUCCGGAAUUAUUGGGCGUAAAGAGCUCGUAGGUGGUUCGUCACGUCGGAUGUGAAAAUCUGGGGCUCAACCCCAGACCUGCAUUCGAUACGGGCGAUCUAGAGUGUGGUAGGGGAGACUGGAAUUCCUGGUGUAGCGGUGGAAUGCGCAGAUAUCAGGAGGAACACCAAUGGCGAAGGCAGGUCUCUGGGCCAUUACUGACACUGAGGAGCGAAAGCGUGGGGAGCGAACAGGAUUAGAUACCCUGGUAGUCCACGCCGUAAACGGUGGGCACUAGUUGUGGGAACCUUCCACGGUUUCUGCGACGCNGCUACGCAUAGUGCCCGCCGUCGGGAGGUACGAGCGCGAGAGUUAAACGUACUAAAUAGUAAGUUAGUUACGGUCGUUGAGACGUUGCCGACGGACGACCGACCGACGGGGAGGUUAGG